RNAcentral lists this transfer RNA (65 nucleotides) under Euwallacea similis. Its description in RNAcentral is "tRNA-His". The record is from RNAcentral. Lineage: Eukaryota; Metazoa; Arthropoda; Insecta; Coleoptera; Curculionidae.
GCUUAGGUAGUUUCAAAGAAAAUAUUAAUUUGUGGAAUUAAAGAUAUAAAAAGUUAUUUUAAGCA